ACCGGAGGGUUAAGAAAGCAGAGUCUGUGAAGUGAGGCUCUGCUGAUACCCCCCUCCUACAAAAAACGGACGUUGGAGAGCAGCCUAUGCUUAGUAACUGGCUGAGGCUGACUGCAUCAUCCCACACGC
This is a non-coding RNA of Spea bombifrons (plains spadefoot toad), 129 nucleotides long. RefSeq annotates it as small Cajal body-specific RNA 4. Lineage: Eukaryota; Metazoa; Chordata; Amphibia; Anura; Pelobatidae. The record is from RefSeq and is a predicted model, not a curated record. The transcript has a single exon.